This 477-nucleotide ribosomal RNA is filed under the name uncultured bacterium. Its description in RNAcentral is "partial 16S ribosomal RNA". It matches the Rfam family "Bacterial small subunit ribosomal RNA", at positions 28 to 507 of the family's 1533-position model. The record is from RNAcentral.
GAUUAACGCUGGCGGCGUGCCUAACACAUGCAAGUCGAACGAUGAAACUUUAAUGAACCCCUCGGGGAGAUUUCAAGCGGCUUAGUGGCGAACGGGUGAUUAACGCGUGAUUAACCUGCCUUAAACACGGGGAUAGCCUUUGGAUACGAAGAAAUAUACCCUACAAAACAAUACAAGCACAUGCAAUUAUUGUCAAAGUGAUAGCGGCGUAAGAUGGACUUGCGUCUGAUUAGCUAGUUGGUGGGAUAAAGGCCCACCAAGGCAACGAUCAGUAGCCGGCUUGGGGGCGUGGACGAGAACAUUGGGAGAGGGACACGGCCCAGACUCCUAAGGAAGGGAGCAGGGGUGAAUUAUGCACACUGCGGGAGUCCCGGAGGCAGCGGCGCCGCGAGAUUUAGAAGUCCGGCAAGAUGUAAAGAUCUUUUGUAUAGGAAGAAAAUGACGGUACUAAACGAAUAAGGUCCGGCUAAUUACGUG